RNAcentral lists this long non-coding RNA (252 nucleotides) under Elaeis guineensis (African oil palm). RNAcentral's name for it is "long non-coding RNA (EGUI_LNC006638)". Lineage: Eukaryota; Viridiplantae; Streptophyta; Magnoliopsida; Arecales; Arecaceae. The record is from RNAcentral.
UCUUAACUAUCUAUAUAAAUAGACUUUAAUCAUAAGAAUAUAAUAAUAUCAUGCAUUAUUAAUAUAAUUUAAUGUGAAUAGGUAUUCUUUUCAGAUGGCACAACAAAACUCAUUUGAGAAGUUGAAUUGAUAACAUUUUAAUACUCCUUCACAGAAUAUUAUUAUUAUUAUUAUUAUUAUUAUUAUUAUUAUUAUUAUUAUUAUUAUUAUUAUUAUUAUUAUUAUAUGAUAUGAUAUGAUAACCUCCAAGUC